UACUUUACUAACUUAAUCAGUAAAGACAAAAAUACCUCUUCUAAGUGGUUUCUGAGCAUCCAAAUUGAUUCUGAGUCGACAAAAUUCUUCACUAAUUUCAGAUUUGAGAACCCCACCAAACGUUCCACCAAUAGCAUGCAAUAGAUCUUUCUUGUCGAACUCUAGAAAACACGAUUCAAUUUUUAUCCAAAACGGGGAUGAAGUAAGCUUGAUCUGGUCCCUCUCCACC
RNAcentral lists this long non-coding RNA (229 nucleotides) under Gossypium raimondii (Peruvian cotton). RNAcentral describes it as "long non-coding RNA (GRAI_LNC007513)". The record is from RNAcentral. Lineage: Eukaryota; Viridiplantae; Streptophyta; Magnoliopsida; Malvales; Malvaceae.